UCGUAGGUGACCUGCGGAGGAUCAUUA
RNAcentral lists this ribosomal RNA (27 nucleotides) under Phytophthora capsici. Its description in RNAcentral is "partial 18S ribosomal RNA". RNAcentral also lists the same sequence under 9 other names. The record is from RNAcentral. Lineage: Eukaryota; Oomycota; Peronosporomycetes; Peronosporales; Peronosporaceae.